Molecule: non-coding RNA, 286 nt
Filed under: Malonomonas rubra
Lineage: Bacteria; Pseudomonadati; Thermodesulfobacteriota; Desulfuromonadia; Desulfuromonadales; Geopsychrobacteraceae
Also listed under: 1 other name
Description: MoCo sequence
Rfam family: Molybdenum/Tungsten riboswitch aptamer (Moco RNA motif)
Source: RNAcentral
UAGUAUUUAUAUCUCCGAGCUUUUGCCCCUGUCGGUUGUAACCGUGGUGCCGGAGCCUGUACCUGAAUCAGCGAAUGGAUCGAUGAAUAUAAGUGCAAGUCAUUGCCGCGUCUGAGUUCACAAAAAAUGACCGCCGAACCUAUGGUGCGACUCACAUUUUUUGCAAACUCAUUCACGACAAGCACUUACACUCCUUUUUCACCGACCAGCCACUGAUCCAGGCUAAGGGUAGUGCUGGAAACGGCACUGCCUCCCGUGUUUGGAAAGGAGUUUCGCAGCACAUAUC